This 253-nucleotide ribosomal RNA is filed under the name uncultured bacterium. RNAcentral describes it as "partial 16S ribosomal RNA". It matches the Rfam family "Bacterial small subunit ribosomal RNA", at positions 524 to 776 of the family's 1533-position model. The record is from RNAcentral.
UACGUAGGUGGCAAGCGUUGUCCGGAUUUACUGGGCGUAAAGAGCGCGCAGGCGGUUGUGCAAGUCGCGUGUGAGAGCCCCCGGCUCAACUGGGGAGGGUCACGCGAUACUGUUCGACUUGAAGGCAGGAGAGGGAAGUGGAAUUCCCGGUGUAGUGGUGAAAUGCGUAGAUAUCGGGAGGAACACCAGUGGCGAAGGCGACUUUCUGGCCUGUUCUUGACGCUGAGGCGCGAAAGCUAGGGUAGCAAACGGG